CCUACGGGUGGCAGCAGUGGGGAAUAUAGCACAAUGGGCGAAAGCCUGAUGCAGCAACGCCGCGUGAGCGAUGAAGGCCUUCGGGUCGUAAAGCUCUGUCCUCAAGGAAGAUAAUGAAGGUUCUUGAGGUGAAAGCCCCGGCUAAAUACGGGCCCGCAGCCGCGGUAAUAAGUAGGGGGCUAGCGUUAACCGGAAUUACUGGGCGUAAAGGGUGCGUUGGGGGUUGCUUAAGUCAUAGGUGAAAGGCUACGGCUCAACCGUAGUAAGACUUUGAAACUGGGGAGCUUGAGUGCAGGAGAGGAGAGUGGAAUUCCUAGUGUAGCGGUGAAAUGCGUAGAUAUUAGGAGGAACACCAGUUGCGAAGGCGGCUCUCUGGACUGUAACUGACACUGAGGCACGAAAGCGUGGGGAGCAAACAGGAUUAGAUACCCGGGUAGUC
Molecule: ribosomal RNA, 439 nt
Filed under: uncultured bacterium
Lineage: Bacteria
Description: partial 16S ribosomal RNA
Rfam family: Bacterial small subunit ribosomal RNA
Source: RNAcentral